AUGAAAAAUUGCAUUUUUGGAAUUUGCAAUAAUGCGAUGGGCGAACGACGGGAAUUGAACCCGCGCAUGGUGGAUUUACAAUCCACUGCCUUAAUCCACUUGGCUACAUCCGCCCCUUAUCAAGCUAAAGGAUUUUUUCUUUUUUCCAUUGAUCAUUAUUCUAUUAAUUCUGACCUCUGUACUUCGAUCGAGAUAUUGGACAUAGAAUGGCACUCUUUAAAAAGGAAAAAAAGGAGUAAUCAGCUGUGA
This 249-nucleotide transfer RNA is filed under the name Triticum aestivum (bread wheat). RNAcentral describes it as "partial small subunit ribosomal RNA". Lineage: Eukaryota; Viridiplantae; Streptophyta; Magnoliopsida; Poales; Poaceae. The record is from RNAcentral.